CUGGCUCAGAGCGAACGCUGGCGGCAGGCUUAACACAUGCAAGUCGAGCGGGCAUAGCAAUAUGUCAGCGGCAGACGGGUGAGUAACGCGUGGGAACGUACCUUUUGGUUCGGAACAACACAGGGAAACUUGUGCUAAUACCGGAUAAGCCCUUACGGGGAAAGAUUUAUCGCCGAAAGAUCGGCCCGCGUCUGAUUAGCUAGUUGGUGAGGUAAUGGCUCACCAAGGCGACGAUCAGUAGCUGGUCUGAGAGGAUGAUCAGCCACAUUGGGACUGAGACACGGCCCAAACUCCUACGGGAGGCAGCAGUGGGGAAUAUUGGACAAUGGGCGCAAGCCUGAUCCAGCCAUGCCGCGUGAGUGAUGAAGGCCCUAGGGUUGUAAAGCUCUUUUGUGCGGGAAGAUAAUGACGGUACCGCAAGAAUAAGCCCCGGCUAACUUCGUGCCAGCAGCCGCGGUAAUACGAAGGGGGCUAGCGUUGCUCGGAAUCACUGGGCGUAAAGGGUGCGUAGGCGGGUCUUUAAGUCAGGGGUGAAAUCCUGGAGCUCAACUCCAGAACUGCCUUUGAUACUGAAGAUCUUGAGUUCGGGAGAGGUGAGUGGAACUGCGAGUGUAGAGGUGAAAUUCGUAGAUAUUCGCAAGAACACCAGUGGCGAANGCGGCUCACUGGCCCGAUACUGACGCUGANGCACGAAAGCGUGGGGAGCAAACAGGAUUAGAUACCCUGGUAGUCCC
Molecule: ribosomal RNA, 734 nt
Filed under: uncultured Pseudomonadota bacterium
Lineage: Bacteria; Pseudomonadati; Pseudomonadota
Description: bacterial SSU rRNA
Rfam family: Bacterial small subunit ribosomal RNA
Source: RNAcentral